UACGGGGGGGGCAAGCGUUGUUCGGAAUUACUGGGCGUAAAGGGCGCGUAGGCGGCCUUGCAAGUGACGGGUGAAAUCCCUCGGCUUAACCGAGGAACUGCCUGUCAAACUGCAUGGCUUGAGACCGGGAGAGGUGAGUGGAAUUCCCAGUGUAGCGGUGAAAUGCGUAGAUAUUGGGAGGAACACCGGUGGCGAAGGCGGCCCUCUGGACCGGUACUGACGCUGAUGCGCGAAAGCGUGGGGAGCAAACGGG
Molecule: ribosomal RNA, 253 nt
Filed under: uncultured bacterium
Lineage: Bacteria
Description: partial 16S ribosomal RNA
Rfam family: Bacterial small subunit ribosomal RNA
Source: RNAcentral